This is a small nuclear RNA of Otolemur garnettii (small-eared galago), 141 nucleotides long. Its record names the gene U4. It matches the Rfam family "U4 spliceosomal RNA". From Rfam's summary of the family: U4 small nuclear RNA (U4 snRNA) is a component of the major U2-dependent spliceosome. The structure of U4 snRNA from yeast and human has been reported. NCBI's taxonomy places the organism in Eukaryota, Metazoa, Chordata, Mammalia, Primates, Galagidae. The record is from Ensembl.
AGCUUUGCGCAGUGGCAGUAUUGUAGCCAAUGAGGUUUAUCGAAAGCACGAUUAUUACUAAUUGAAAACUUUUCCCAAUACCCUAACAUGAUGACUUGAAAUGUAGUCGGCAUUGGCAAUUUUUGACAGUCUCUACAGAGA